Molecule: ribosomal RNA, 401 nt
Filed under: uncultured soil bacterium
Lineage: Bacteria
Description: bacterial SSU rRNA
Rfam family: Bacterial small subunit ribosomal RNA
Source: RNAcentral
AGAUUGAACGCUGGCGGCAUGCUUUACACAUGCAAGUCGAACGGCAGCGCGGGGCAACCUGGCGGCGAGUGGCGAACGGGUGAGUAAUAUAUCGGAACGUACCCAAGAGUGGGGGAUAACGUAGCGAAAGUUACGCUAAUACCGCAUACGAUCCAAGGAUGAAAGCAGGGGACCGCAAGGCCUUGUGCUCCUGGAGCGGCCGAUAUCUGAUUAGCUAGUUGGUAGGGUAAAGGCCUACCAAGGCUACGAUCAGUAGCUGGUCUGAGAGGACGACCAGCCACACUGGAACUGAGACACGGUCCAGACCUCCUACGGGAGCAGCAGGUGGGGUAAUUUUGGACAAGUGGGCGCAAGCCUGACUCCAGCAAUGCCGCGUGAGUGAAGGAGGCCGUUGGUUGUAA